Long non-coding RNA from Oreochromis aureus, 604 nucleotides. RefSeq lists it as uncharacterized. NCBI's taxonomy places the organism in Eukaryota, Metazoa, Chordata, Actinopteri, Cichliformes, Cichlidae. The record is from RefSeq and is a predicted model, not a curated record. The transcript has 4 exons.
UCUCAGAGAGCGUAACUUUUCAAAUGGCAUACCUCAGGCUUUCGUCUCAGUUCCCUUCCAUAAGGAUGGCUUCUUGAUAACCAGCCUUUCACCGAGACCAUUUCAGAUGAAGCUUCAAUGAACAGUGGCUCACACGGAACUCAGGGCUGCUGUUUGACCCAAAGGAAUGUCCAGAUCUGGAAGCCCAAGCAGAUGAGGAUCUGGGUCAGCACAGAGAACAGCAGAGGCCCUGAGAUCAGACCUGAUGGAGGACGACGGGACACCAGCUCUUUCCACGCUGGGUUCAGACUCACUGAUAAGGGGCAGAGGAAAAAGCUCCGAAGGCCUGUGGUGUCCUGCUAACAACCGGGUUGCUGUACAUACCAUGUCCUGCUCUGGUGUUACAGCAGGCUCCGGGGGCAACAGCUGCUUAGGCGGUCGAACGACAGUGGGCAUGAUACGAUUAUGGAGAGACGUUUCCUCCUCAGUAGCCUCUUCCAAGAUCUGGGCAGGGAAACCAUCUGACUGAAAACGUAAUCAUCUUACAAGAUUUUUGGAGAAAAGGAAAAACUGAAAAAGGAGACCGAUCAUUCUCCUGUAACUAUCUGCAUUACCUCGUUCAUGA